AUUGAACGCUGGCGGCAGGCCUAACACAUGCAAGUCGGACGGUAGCACAGAGGAGCUUGCUCCUCGGGUGACGAGUGGCGGACGGGUGAGUAAUGUCUGGGGAUCUGCCCGAUAGAGGGGGAUAACCACUGGAAACGGUGGCUAAUACCGCAUAACGUCGCAAGACCAAAGAGGGGGACCUUCGGGCCUCUCACUAUCGGAUGAACCCAGAUGGGAUUAGCUAGUAGGCGGGGUAAUGGCCCACCUAGGCGACGAUCCCUAGCUGGUCUGAGGGGAUGACCAGCCACACUGGACCUGGGACACGGUCCAGACUCCUACGGGAGGCAGCAGUGGGGAAUAUUGCACAAUGGGCGCAAGCCUGAUGCAGCCAUGCCGCGUGUAUGAAGAAGGCCUUCGGGUUGUAUAGUACUUUCAGCGGGGAGGAAGGCGAUGUGGUUAAUAACCUUGUCGAUUGACGUUACCCGCAGAAGAAGCACCGGCUAACUCCGUGCCAGCCGCCGCAGUAA
RNAcentral lists this ribosomal RNA (506 nucleotides) under uncultured bacterium. RNAcentral's name for it is "partial 16S ribosomal RNA". It matches the Rfam family "Bacterial small subunit ribosomal RNA", at positions 30 to 523 of the family's 1533-position model. The record is from RNAcentral.